UGGCGUGAAGAAAUUCAUGACUUGGUCAAAUCCUAGCACAGAGAUUGUGCUCUCACCAGUUCUUAAAUUUGUCAGGCUGGAGAAUAUGGUUGUGUGAUACCUUUUCUGCAACUACCUUAAUUGCUUUCAUGGCAAAGUAACUUCAGGAAAGUGUUUAAUUAUUUUUCAGAUGGCUUUCAGUGAUAUAUACCAGCUGCAAACAGGGAGCAGAGCCAGCCCCAUGUGGCUGUCCCGCUGAACAGAAAACAUCCAGUGCUCCUGCAACAGCACUCCAGGCCAAUUUGCACAAACCCUGAAGUGUGAAAGUUCAGGUUACACUUGCACGCCUUCUGGGUGAUGAGGAUGAGGACCUUCAGGCGAGCUGUAAGCUGCCGCAGCCCCUGAAGCCACCAGUGAGAAGAGCACUUUGGCCCUCGAACUUCACUAAGAGCAGUUACCGUCAGUUGCCGUCACCUAACAAGAGGAAGACUUCUCCUCCACACAGCGUGCUGUGGUACACCCAAGAGCUGCAGGGCAGUACAGCCGAGAGCUCCGAGGGGACUGGCAGAGGGCUGGCACCUGGCCACUGGGGCGCAGUGGGGCAGCUGGGCCUGAUCCUCCACAAGGUGACGGCCCAUUUUGAACAGCAGGAUUCUGUGAGCGGCCACCCCGGCGGCUGCCCUGCUGCCCACCUAACAACCGGCAGGGGCCGGGCAGCACCGUGCUGGACCCUAUCUUGUGCAGGCACCACCAAGGGCUCGGCCACCAUGCUGUGAUGACAGCCCAGAGGGGCGCUGGGAGGGAGAUGCAUAGCCACCACAGGCGUGUCAUCCAUGUGUCCAGGAUUACAGCCUGGAGGCGCAGGGGAUGCUCCUGGACAGGCGCUUGGACCAAUGCAUUUUUUCCACUAUGAAAAGGACACCUAAGACCAAAAGGGAGCCAAUGCCCCUGCUUGCUGCAAUUUCUCCCCGACGCAGCCGGCGCGACAAUGCUCCGCUGACCAAAGUGCAGGCCCCAAGAGCUGCCGCUUGCACCGACCGCUCCGCUGAGGCUCCCGGCGGGGAGAAAGUAACUGUCACGUUGUGAGGUAUUGUGAAAAUGGGAACCAUUUUUGUCUUGUCCAGUAAACCUGAGGUAAGUAUACCAUCUUUGCAGAAUGUGAUCAGGAAGGAAAAAAAAAAAAAAA
Molecule: long non-coding RNA, 1165 nt
Filed under: Anser brachyrhynchus (Pink-footed goose)
Lineage: Eukaryota; Metazoa; Chordata; Aves; Anseriformes; Anatidae
Description: lncRNA (ENSABRG00000009678.1)
Source: RNAcentral